UGUCAGUCCUCUCCCAUUUCACUCUCUCAUGAUCCCUUCUCUCUUUCUCUCUCUCUCUCUCCAACGCAAGCGAUCCUCCUACCAGCCACCGUCCUCCACUAUCGCACACGAGCACCCACCUCCUCACCGGCGACGGUAUGACCCACCUCUCCACCAGCAACAGUACCACAUAUCUCCCCACCAGCGACGGACAAUAGUAGCUACUUUGAUUUGUGUCUCCUCCAGCGCACACCAAAGGGUAGGAGCUUCUCUUUUAUCUAUUUCUUGUAAGAGCAACAUUUUUUUCUCUCUAUUUCUCGCUCGCAACAACCAUUGGAGCACACCCUGGUGAAGCUGACAAAAGAAUUGCAUUUGGCCAAUUGAGAAGAUUUGCUUUGCAAGAAUUACAGCUAGCUAUAGACAACUUUAAUGAGAAAAAUGUCCUUGGAAAGGGGGGUUUUGGAAAGGUUUAUAAAGGAGUGCUUUCAAAUAUUACUAAAGUGGUUAUGAAACGAUUAAAUGACUAUGAGAGUUCAGAUGGAGAUGCAGCAUUCCAGCAUGAAGUUGAGAUGAUAAGUGUAGCGGUUCACAGGAAUCUAUUAUGUCUUAUUGGGUUCUGCUCAACACCAACAGAACGCCUUUGGUGUAUUCCUUCAUGCAGAACGCCUUUUGACUUAUUCUAGUGAAUUUUUGAAGUCUUUUGAUUUUAUAUAUAGCUGGUGUAUGGACGUCACUGGUAGCUCAUAUGUUUAAAUAGGUUUGUGUGAAAUUAUUAUUUUAAGUUGGAAUAUACUUUGUUUGCAAUGUUGACAUUAAAAGUUAUAAUUUUUUUUGGA
Molecule: non-coding RNA, 815 nt
Organism: Camellia sinensis
Lineage: Eukaryota; Viridiplantae; Streptophyta; Magnoliopsida; Ericales; Theaceae
Source: RefSeq, a predicted model, not a curated record